RNAcentral lists this ribosomal RNA (425 nucleotides) under uncultured prokaryote. RNAcentral's name for it is "bacterial SSU rRNA". It matches the Rfam family "Bacterial small subunit ribosomal RNA", at positions 355 to 796 of the family's 1533-position model. The record is from RNAcentral.
CAACGAAUCUUCCGCAAUGCGCGAAAGCGUGACGGAGCAAUGCCGCGUGCAGGAUGAAGCCCCUCGGGGUGUAAACUGCUGUCAGGGUUCAGCAACACAAUGAGCAGACCCAAAGGAAGGGCCGGCUAACUUCGUGCCAGCAGCCGCGGUAAUACGAAGGGCCCGAGCGUUGCGCGGAAUCAUUGGGCUUAAAGCGUGCGUAGGCGGACUCGUAAGCACCUUGUGAAAUCCCUCGGCUCAACCGAGGAACUGCUUGGUGAACUGUGAGUCUUGAGGCAAGUAGGGGCUGUCGGAACGAUAGGUGGAGCGGUGAAAUGCGUUGAUAUCUAUCGGAACGCCAAAGGCGAAGGCAGGCAGCUGGGCUUGUUCUGACGCUCAGGCACGAAAGCGUGGGGAGCGAACGGGAUUAGAUACCCCCGUAGUCC